Potamilus streckersoni is the source of this 77-nucleotide non-coding RNA. Lineage: Eukaryota; Metazoa; Mollusca; Bivalvia; Unionida; Unionidae. The record is from the annotation of a GenBank genome assembly.
GAGCCGCAAUAACUCAGUGGUUAAUGCGUUAGACUCGUGACUUAACGGAUGUAGGUUCAAUUCCUACUAUUGGAUCG